Molecule: small nuclear RNA, 109 nt
Organism: Hyaena hyaena (striped hyena)
Lineage: Eukaryota; Metazoa; Chordata; Mammalia; Carnivora; Hyaenidae
Source: RefSeq, a predicted model, not a curated record
GUGUUACCUUUGGCAAUACAUGUACUCAAAUUGAAACGAUACAGAGAAGAUUAGCAUGGCCCCGCACAAGGAUGACGUCAUGAAUAUGUAGCGGUCUCAACAUGGGCUU